UCUUGGGUCGCAGAAAGAGCAUCUCUCUCUGUCUAUUCAAAGAUCCGAGACAGCUAGUUCAGUUGGUGACAUUGGUUCUCCGUCUCUACUCUCCUAUCUCUCUCACCCUGGUUGGGCUCUGGCUUAGUGUGAUUAAACUGUGAAUCAAGUCAGGAAGAAGAAGUCCAGCUCCAGGCUUUAAAGAAGAAAGACCUGGCUUCAAGGGCUUUAGCAGUUCUCCAAGGCUAAUUCAAUUCACGAUUGUUGAAUCUUGCUAACGUCUGUAAUUUAAAGAGAGUGCCCCCAGGGGGGAUAAGCUCUUCUCUCUAUCCUGUGCGUGCUAUUUAUAAUAAGGAAUACCUGGCCCUAAAGGACCAGACUCUAAAUUCCUGGCUAUCUCUAAAUUCUUUCACUACUCUUUCUCUUAGCAAAGUCCUCCCACUAGUUCUAGAAUUCAUUCCUCUGCGUCUGCAGCUAUUGAUGCGGGAUAACAGCGGUUUGUGGCCUAAAGGCCGGUGCCCUACUUACUUACCAAUUUUUGACUUGAGGAAUCGAAUGCCUUCUCUACUCUGUUCUCUCGCAACCAGUUCCCUUGGUGAUUGGAUUCAACUCCUGAAUGCCAUUGUCGAAAUAACCCCAGCUGCUAAUGUGACGCCCCCAAAAUAGGUAUACAUCACCCAUUCUGAGUUGUCAAUACAUGGUACAGAAACAACUACAACUUUAUUAUUACAACAGUAAAACUGUGAGUUUGAAUACAAAUAUUAUCUUCUAGACAAUAUCUAUACUCAAAUAAAUCCUCAUCACAUUUAUUGAUACAUUAUUUUACAAAANNNNNNNNNNNNNNNNNNNNNNNNNNNNNNNNNNNNNNNNNNNNNNNNNNNNNNNNNNNNNNNNNNNNNNNNNNNNNNNNNNNNNNNNNNNNNNNNNNNNUACGCAUCAGCGGCAUUUGCUACAUAAUCCGCAUCUCUUGUCAGAAUUUAUACUAUAAGGGAGGACAAAAAGUCUGCUUAGUAUUCUCGGACCCGGGGGUGAUUCCAUUCACUUCUUCAACUGCUAAGAAGAAUAGCUUUUCUUCCCAGAUCGGGAUUCCUAUAAUAAAAUAAGUAUCAAAAUAAGGCUCAGGCCAGCGAUGAGGAUUAGUUGGCAAUUGCCUUAUUAAAUGGAAUUGAAUGAAAUUCAAGGAGGAGAUGCGAGGAAGAGCUCAUUAGAUCCAUGCCACUUCGAACUCCAAGUCUUAAGCAAACUGGCAUCUACCUUGCCUUGCUCUGUAGCCGGAAUAGAUAGAUUCAAGGGGCGAAGGAAAGAUAGUUCUUUGAGUGACAGAGAUUCCGAUUCAACUUCUCCCACGGGGAAAUCCAGCCUUUAUAGUUCAGCUAGCCUAUUAGGCGCUGUGUAAGAGCUCUAUGCUAUCUAUGGAAUAGCGGUCAGUGCUGCUUGAUUGACUGCUUGAAAGUUUGAAACAAGUCUUGGAUUCGGAAGAGAAGUAGGCGUAGAGGAUAUUGAUAAAGAUCCCACAUCUGGUUAACUGCUUUAGGAGUGCCGGCUCCAGGCUAGAGAAAAGAUAGGCUAUGAAGCUGUGAAAAAGAGUUUCUAUCGAAAGUUUUCUUUUUAGUCACCGAUAAAGAAAGUAGCUAGGCUUCCUGGUGGUUUGAAAGAGAUCUUAGUGCCUUAGACGACCUAGAAGGAGGAUUGCUUCUCUCACCCGUAGCAAGGUAGCCCAAGAUUCUUUUGAGACGAAUGAAUGCCGAAGAAAGGAAGGCCUGAGAGCUUACUCCGCUGUUCGUGGUGGAAUAAGGGCUUAGGAGUAGUAGGGCUAAAGGCAUGCCUUAAGGCAGCUCGUGACCUAAGGUAGGCGCAUUAGAAUGAAUUAGUGUUAGUUUUGGCAUUUCUCGCAGGGGAAUAGGAAGAAUUUCAAAUGACAAAGCGAAAUUCUCUUAUUAAAAAAGCGGACUAGGAGCGGAAGGCGAAAGGGGAUUUCUUUAGUAAGGAAGGAAAGCAAGUUAGUUACAUCUAUCUUAAAGUCUGAUUCGGAUUCUGCUCUCGCUGUUCUCAAAGUAGCGAAGUUACCAGAGGGAGAAGCUCUGAUUCCUCUUGUUGAAUCGACUCUUUACAACGUAUCGUAUUACUAAAAAGCAAAUACGUUAUAAGAUAAGUAAGGGCGAGAGGAAAGAGACAACAGCUGUUUACUAGCAAGCAUUGAAAGCAGAUGCCAGAAUGACUCUUUGAACUGAACGACGUAAUAAAUAAAGAAACUAGCUGCCAUCAAGACUGAACGAGAUGAGGAUUAAAGAAAAUCGAACUGUGAUAACCUUUGUUUUUACCAUAAAAGCAGAAAGAAGGAAAGAGAACAGAUGAAAGUUCGCCCAAAAGAAGCGAGUGACUCAAGAUAUGCCAUCGCUCUUCUCUCUUGACCUGAGACUUGGGGGAGUUCUGUGAGCGAGGAGCGAAGCCUUUCGGUAGCUGUUAAAAAGAAUCAAUGAAAUCAGCUCCAGAGCUAGGAGUUCUAUGUCUAGGUUGAGGGUUGAGGAGAGUCCUUUUAGUUAAUCUUAGCUGCUACCCUACUUAUCCCAGCUCUAAAGGCAGCUACUGACUCGUCAAGUUGAGUCGACUGUGAUUCUUCUUGUUCCGCUGUGAAUGGUAUCGUUAUCGUAUUCAGUAGUUUUCCCGGCUCUCCGCUAAAGCCCUUUCUCCCGUGCCUGGGUGAAUAUGAAUGUCUUUCUCCCGGCUUACUACGAUUUCCGGGUGGGAAGAAAGUCAUUGCUAGCUCUUUGAACGAAUACGCUCUUGGGCCGCAGGAAGAGCAUCUCUCUCUGUCUAUUCAAAGAUCCGAGACAGCUAGUUCAGUUGGUGACAUUGGUUCUCCGUCUCUACUCUCCUAUCUCUCUCACCCUGGUUGGGCUCUGGCUUAGUGUGAUUAAACUGUGAAUCGAGUCAGGAAGAAGAAGUCCAGCUCCAGGCUUUAAAGAAGAAAGACCUGGCUUCAAGGGCUUUAGCAGUUCUCCGAGGCUAAUUCAAUUCACGAUUGUUGAAUCAGCCGUGAUUGCUAACGUCUGUAAUUUAAAGAGAGUGCCCCCAGGGGGGAUAAGCUCUUCUCUCUGUCCUGUGCGUGCUAUUUAGAAUAAGGAAUACCUGGCCCUAAAGGACCAGACUCUAAAUUCCUGGCUAUCUCUAAAUUCUUUCACUACUCUUUCUCUUGGCAAAGUCCUCCCACUAGUUCUAGAAUUCAUUCCUCUGCGUCUGCAGCUAUUGAUGCGGGAUAACAGCGGUUUGCGGCCUAAAGGCUGGUGCCCUACUUACUUACCCAUUUUGGACUUGAGGAAUCGAAUGCCUUCUCUGCUCUGUUCUCUCGCAACCAGUUCCCUUGCUGAUUGGAUUCAACUCCUGAAUGCCAUUGUCGAAAUGGGUCUUACAGCUAAGAUCCAAGUCCCAUUCAAUCUCUUGGAAGCAAGGGCGGCUUCUAGAAGCUAGCUCUUCUACUCCCAAGAAGUCCAAGCACAGGAGAAAUGCUUUCUUCAAAAAUUCCU
RNAcentral lists this long non-coding RNA (3503 nucleotides) under Panax ginseng (ginseng). Its description in RNAcentral is "long non-coding RNA (PGIN_LNC001350)". Lineage: Eukaryota; Viridiplantae; Streptophyta; Magnoliopsida; Apiales; Araliaceae. The record is from RNAcentral.